Molecule: small nuclear RNA, 108 nt
Filed under: Ornithorhynchus anatinus (platypus)
Lineage: Eukaryota; Metazoa; Chordata; Mammalia; Monotremata; Ornithorhynchidae
Source: RNAcentral
GUGCUUUAGAUCGGCAGCACACAUACUAAAAUUGGAAUGAUACAGAGAAGAUUAGCAUGGCCCCUGCACAAGGAGGACACACAAACUCGUGAAGCAUUCCAUAUUUUU